RNAcentral lists this transfer RNA (61 nucleotides) under Ornithodoros waterbergensis. RNAcentral describes it as "tRNA-Met". Lineage: Eukaryota; Metazoa; Arthropoda; Arachnida; Ixodida; Argasidae. The record is from RNAcentral.
UAUAAAGUAAGCUAAAUAAGCUAGUGGGCUCAUACCCCAAAUAUGAUACUUUCCUUUAUAA